Long non-coding RNA from Prunus avium (sweet cherry), 870 nucleotides. RefSeq lists it as uncharacterized. The record is from RefSeq and is a predicted model, not a curated record. Lineage: Eukaryota; Viridiplantae; Streptophyta; Magnoliopsida; Rosales; Rosaceae.
UAUUAAUUUGUUUUUUUCCAUCGAUGGAUAUUUCAAAUAAGAGUACUUCUGCUGAUCACGUGAAGAUGUAUCCAACUAUUAAUAAGACUACUUCUGCUGAUAUUUCAAAUUUCAUACACUCAUACAAACCUUUAUCCAUUUUUGGUUCUGCUCUCCAAUGUCCUUCGUCAUCAAAAAUAGCAAGGGAGAGCACAUGCAGCAAGAUCAACUUCCUUCCUCUUUCACUCUCCUUCUAACUCCAGAAUUAAACCCAACACUCAACCUCUACCUCACCCUCCUCCUAUAUAUUGACAUCAUUUUCCUCCACAUUUUACUCACAUCCUAAAUUAACUACAUAUUUCAUUUGCAUCAUCCUCUACACACAUUUUACAUGGCUAUUCAUCGUUCUUUAAAAUUGAUUCGCAACUUACAAAAAUUUUGGAAAACUGGUAAACAAUCCAACGCUAGAAGAAACCAAAAUCAAAAGAAUAGAGCAACAACGAGUUUACCAAGUUGUCUCUCUCAGAUUUACGAGUUCGAUACAAUCUGUGUCGAAACUCUGGAAGAUAUGGAAGCGUUGCGAAAACUUAUGGAAGGAGGCAAAAACCCCAAGUUCUUCGGGAUCUGGGGGAGGAGACACUUCUACAAGUGGGGAGGGCUCCGAAUCUGGGGGAGGAGACAACAACGACGAUGCAGGAACAAGUCACUGAUAUCUUUUUUUUUUGGGUCAACACUUCCAUCUGAUAUCUUUGAAGAGACUUUUUAGUUUUUGUUUGAUCCAUUGGUCCAAACAUUGUAUCACAACCCAGUGAGUUUUGUGGAGUAUUUUAUCACAUAUUGAGAACAGAAGAAUUUAACAUGUGUUUUAUGAAGUGCGGAUCGAUGCCUUAA